Molecule: ribosomal RNA, 692 nt
Filed under: uncultured bacterium
Lineage: Bacteria
Description: bacterial SSU rRNA
Rfam family: Bacterial small subunit ribosomal RNA
Source: RNAcentral
GUGGGUAGCAAACAGGAUUAGAUACCCUGGUAGUCCACGCCGUAAACGAUGUCUACUAGUCGUUGGGUCCCUUGAGGACUUAGUGACGCAGCUAACGCAAUAAGUAGACCGCCUGGGGAGUACGGCCGCAAGGUUAAAACUCAAAUGAAUUGACGGGGGCCCGCACAAGCGGUGGAGCAUGUGGUUUAAUUCGAUGCAACGCGAAGAACCUUACCUGGUCUUGACAUAUCUAGAAUCCUGCAGAGAUGCGGGAGUGCCUUCGGGAAUUAGAAUACAGGUGCUGCAUGGCUGUCGUCAGCUCGUGUCGUGAGAUGUUGGGUUAAGUCCCGCAACGAGCGCAACCCUUGUCCUUAGUUACCAGCGGGUUAAGCCGGGAACUCUAAGGAUACUGCCAGUGACAAACUGGAGGAAGGCGGGGACGACGUCAAGUCAUCAUGGCCCUUACGACCAGGGCUACACACGUGCUACAAUGGUAGGUACAGAGGGCAGCUACACAGCGAUGUGAUGCGAAUCUCAAAAAGCCUAUCGUAGUCCAGAUUGGAGUCUGCAACUCGACUCCAUGAAGUAGGAAUCGCUAGUAAUCGCGGAUCAGAAUGCCGCGGUGAAUACGUUCCCGGGCCUUGUACACACCGCCCGUCACACCAUGGGAGUUGAUUGCACCAGAAGUGGAUAGCUUAACCGUAAGGGGAGCG